UGCAGUCGAGCGGAGUGAUGGUGCUUGCACUAUCACUUAGCGGCGGACGGGUGAGUAAUGCUUAGGAAUCUGCCUAUUAGUGGGGGACAACAUCUCGAAAGGGAUGCUAAUACCGCAUACGUCCUACGGGAGAAAGCAGGGGAUCACUUGUGACCUUGCGCUAAUAGAUGAGCCUAAGUCGGAUUAGCUAGUUGGUGGGGUAAAGGCCUACCAAGGCGACGAUCUGUAGCGGGUCUGAGAGGAUGAUCCGCCACACUGGGACUGAGACACGGCCCAGACUCCUACGGGAGGCAGCAGUGGGGAAUAUUGGACAAUGGGGGGAACCCUGAUCCAGCCAUGCCGCGUGUGUGAAGAAGGCCUUAUGGUUGUAAAGCACUUUAAGCGAGGAGGAGGCUCUUUUGGUUAAUACCCAAGAUGAGUGGACGUUACUCGCAGAAUAAGCACCGGCUAACUCUGUGCCAGCAGCCGCGGUAAUACAGAGGGUGCAAGCGUUAAUCGGAUUUACUGGGCGUAAAGCGCGCGUAGGCGGCCAAUUAAGUCAAAUGUGAAAUCCCCGAGCUUAACUUGGGAAUUGCAUUCGAUACUGGUUGGCUAGAGUGUGGGAGAGGAUGGUAGAAUUCCAGGUGUAGCGGUGAAAUGCGUAGAGAUCUG
This 651-nucleotide ribosomal RNA is filed under the name uncultured bacterium. RNAcentral describes it as "bacterial SSU rRNA". It matches the Rfam family "Bacterial small subunit ribosomal RNA", at positions 56 to 700 of the family's 1533-position model. The record is from RNAcentral.